Molecule: long non-coding RNA, 800 nt
Organism: Daucus carota subsp. sativus
Lineage: Eukaryota; Viridiplantae; Streptophyta; Magnoliopsida; Apiales; Apiaceae
Exons: 2
Source: RefSeq, a predicted model, not a curated record
UCACCCCUAUAACGUAGUACUGCAGUUGGGCUUAAUAAAAGAAUUGGGGGCUGGCUUUUUCAACAGGUUAGAAAUAGAGGCGGUGAAGAUAGAAAACAGGGGAAACUAGGGUUCGGGGAAAUUGGGGAAAUCCAUAGUCGAGAUUCCAAGGUUGGGGCUGGUGAGUUAUUGAUCGGAGGUGGGGUUCUGUGGUUUUGAGCGGAAUAUGGCGGCGGCGUUGGUUGUCGCGGGGAGUUAAUGGGGUUGUGGCGGCCAUAGAAGCGCGGCGGGGGGAGGAGGUAGAUGAGGGAGGUGACGAAGUGGAGGGAUAAGGGAGGAGGAGACUGUGUAGGGGGCUGCUGGAGGUGGCGCUCGGCACGCCGCGGCGUCGCCGCGCCUGGCCAGUGAAAGCCAGCGGCAACAGCCGCGAGAAAUGGAAAAGGAUAGGGGCAGCUGUCCAGAGAGAGAGAGAGAGAUUGGGGAAGAAGGCUGCCGGAUUCCGGCAAGCCUGGCGGCAGAGGCGACCCACUGCCGGUCACGAGGAGGUUCCGAGGGGCUGUUUUGGACGGAGGUUUCGGAGAAAAACAAAAUACAAUAUUAAUUUUAUUUUAUUAUUACUAUUAUUAUUAUUGUUUUAAUUAACGAUAAUAAUAAUGAUAAUAAUACUAAUGAAAUUAAUAUCUACUUUUGAAUGUUUAUAUUAUAGUGCAAGUUUGGGAUGUGAAUACUAUAUUCAUAGUGCAUGUACAGAGUGAAUUCUGGAUUUGAUUAUUCAUAAUCUAGUCGAGAUAUUUUGAUUGUUAAUAUUUAAUCUUAGGAAA